GUAAACCCAUAAAGAUAACAAUCUAAAAGUCAGAAUAUUUUCCCUCUCGUUAAUUCAUUUCCUCAAUGGGUGAUAAACAAGGCAAUGUUGAGGAAACAAACCCACGUUGACUAUUGCACAUACUGAAUCAGUAGCUGUCCACAUUGUACAUGAGUUUGUGGAGUGCAUUGUCACUGUAAAUGGAAAAACGUGACACAAAGCGGACCUGUCUUCUUUCUGGUUGGUUCAUCUUUGAUAUGGCCGUACUGGUUGGAGUACUCGUUAUUGAAAUUGGGAGCCAGAAACAGAGCGGAACAGGAUCAGAAUGGAAGUUAUCACUGGAUAAGGUGUACCAAAACUUGGUGAUGAAUGGUGUUUCGACCACAGAGCAUUCAGAACAAUCCUAUCAAGCAUAUGAUAAUGAUACUGGGAACGACCAUCCAGAUCAGCAGUUUCUCAAUCUG
Molecule: long non-coding RNA, 443 nt
Organism: Haliotis rubra (blacklip abalone)
Lineage: Eukaryota; Metazoa; Mollusca; Gastropoda; Lepetellida; Haliotidae
Exons: 4
Source: RefSeq, a predicted model, not a curated record